Long non-coding RNA from Galeopterus variegatus (Sunda flying lemur), 363 nucleotides. RefSeq lists it as uncharacterized. The record is from RefSeq and is a predicted model, not a curated record. The transcript has 2 exons. Lineage: Eukaryota; Metazoa; Chordata; Mammalia; Dermoptera; Cynocephalidae.
AGGAAACUACAACUCAGGCAGGAAACCAAGAUGAAGACCCACUAGAAGAUCCAAAUCUUCAUUUGAAUAUUGAGGAAUUAAACCAAGAGUUUAUGGUGAAAAGUGAAGAACUCUACGAUGCCCUCAUGAAUUGUCACUGGCAGCCUCUGGAUACAGUUCACUGUAACAUCCCAAGGGAGACCCCAAAGUGAAGUAAGGUGUUCAUGAAGCUCCCCAACUAUCAUAUUAAUUGUAUCCUGUUUUGUUAUGGGGGAAAAAAAUUUCUCCAAGGAAUUUACUGGGUUCUGUAUGUAAAUACAAACUUGAGGGAUUUAAAUGUGAUUCACAUGACAGAACAUAAUGUAAAUAAACUUUACCAGCAUA